CAGCACCGCGGUAAUACGAAGGGUGCAAGCGUUACUCGGAAUUACUGGGCGUAAAGCGUGCGUAGGUGGUGGUUUAAGUCCGUUGUGAAAGCCCUGGGCUCAACCUGGGAAUUGCAGUGGAUACUGGGUCACUAGAGUGUGGUAGAGGAUAGUGGAAUUUCCGGUGUAGCAGUGAAAUGCGUAGAGAUCGGAAGGAACAUCUGUGGCGAAGGCGACUAUCUGGGCCAACACUGACACUGAGGCACGAAAGCGUGGGGAGCAAACAGGAUUAGAUACCCCAGUAGUCCCUGUCUCUUAUACA
Molecule: ribosomal RNA, 301 nt
Filed under: uncultured bacterium
Lineage: Bacteria
Description: partial 16S ribosomal RNA
Rfam family: Bacterial small subunit ribosomal RNA
Source: RNAcentral